Molecule: RNA transcript, 1683 nt
Organism: Rosa rugosa (rugosa rose)
Lineage: Eukaryota; Viridiplantae; Streptophyta; Magnoliopsida; Rosales; Rosaceae
Gene name: F-box protein CPR1-like
Exons: 3
Source: RefSeq, a predicted model, not a curated record
GGUCGUUGUUGAUGAAAACUCCUGUAUAGCAUCAUGUCCAAACUCUCCCUCUGAAACAGUGGAACCCCAAACCUUGGCUUGUGAAGUGGGAAUUGCAAAUGGCGGAGCACAUACCUGAAGAUGUGAUAGUAAAAAUCUUCCAGAGGUUGCCUAUCAAAUCCUUAAUCCGCUUCACCUCCCUUUCGCAGCGCUGGCGCUUCAUCAUACUCCGCGACCCUCACUUCGCCACAUCCCAGUUCCAAAUCGCUUCCGGCAACAACAAAAGUGUCUGUUUCCUGAGCUACUCUGAUUCUAACUUCUUCGAAUCGCUGAACUUGCAAACGCCGUCGUCUUUUAGAAAUCUUACCUGCCCAUUCAAGCAACCAGACAGUAUGGUUUUCAUACACUCCUCAUGCCGUGGUCUGAUGUUUGCAAAUUUUUGUGGGCAGGGAAUAGUAGCGAGGUAUAUAUGGAACCCAUCAACUGGGUUCUUCAAAAAACUACCUGAUCCAGGUGUUAAAGAUGAGUUUCUAGUCUUCUCUGGUUUUGGGUAUAUCUCGGCCACCGACGACUACAAGAUUCUCAUAGCCAACUCUAAACGUGAGAAGGGAGAGAAACCCAGGAUCCGCAUCUUCUCGUCGAAAUCCAACUCUUGGAAAAGGAUUCAAGAUUCCCAAUAUUCCGCCUCGUCAACGACAAUCAUGGGCACUCUUUUAAAUGAGGCACUUCAUUGGCUGGAGAUGUUUGAUGACGUUAUAGUUGCUUUUGAUUUAGCAGAUGAGGAGUUCCGGACAAUGCCACUGCCUGUUGUUGAGGAUCACUAUGCUGGUGACUAUUUCAGACAUCUAGGGGUUCUUGGAGGUUCCCUGUGUGUGUUUGGUCAGGCCGAUACUAAUGCUGGCUCUAUGGAUAUGUGGGUCAUGAGGGAAUAUGAUGCGGGUAACUCCUGGACUAAGCUGUUUAACUUAAAGUUUUCCAAUCAGCCUGAGGGGAUUAUUUCUGUCAACCCAAUCUGGGUUAUGGAAACUGGUACAUUUCUGGAGAUACAUUCUAACUCUGAAACGAGGGUGAAGUUGGUAAGGAGUUAUUAUAAUGAAGAGAAGAUCGAAGAGAUUCAUAUGGAUAGACAGUCAAUGAUUGGAUAUGAAGAGAGUCUACUUUGGCUUGAGUAAAUGAUUACUCUCUGCAUCCAAAUUCAGAGAGAAUCUUUAUGGGAUUCAUUUGAAGACCUGGUUCAUGUGAGUGUCGGUUAGCCUAAGUAGAUAUAUGGUACAACGAGGACCAUAUGAACCCAUUUUGAAAUUGAUGCAAGAUGGUUAGACAGCAUAAAGGAAGUUGAAGCAUCUCUUUUCAUAAGUAUCAGCAGAAGAUCACAUGUUAUACUGUUGCAGUUAAGGUUUACAAGCCAAAGAGUUCAGGCAGGUUGACCACUGAAGAGGUUUGAUCUCUUCGUUUUCCAUGGAUUUUAUGGUUUACACAUGCACGAGCAAGUGUGUGAGGACCAGAUGAAGUGGAUCCAGUUCUGAGGAUCCUGGAGCACCUUGCUCGACGUCACCAUUUCCCCUGGGCUAUUGUUUAUUAGAGGCUAUGUAUGCAUCUCUGUUAAUAUGUUGUUAAUGUAUGAAAUUGAUAUGCUUAAGAUAAUGUUCAGUUGUGUUGUUCUGUGAUCCUAUCAAUAAAGGGGAUAAUUUUUUAUAGUCUUAU